RNAcentral lists this long non-coding RNA (479 nucleotides) under Gallus gallus (chicken). Its description in RNAcentral is "long non-coding RNA NONGGAT007199". Lineage: Eukaryota; Metazoa; Chordata; Aves; Galliformes; Phasianidae. The record is from RNAcentral.
UAUUUCAGUUUUGCUUCAUAGUACAGUACACACAGUUGAAACUUUUAAAUGCUAAAACAGAAGGAUUCUGUUCAUGCAAUAACUAACCCGAUUAAUAUUUCAAAUGCUAUUCCAUACAGUAAAAAAUGAGUGUGUCAGUGUAUACUGUAGAUCCACUUGGUACAGGUCCUAUCUACACCUCCCUUUCUCAAACUGCCUCUGUAGGAUCUUUGCUGAGAAGCAGGGAGCAGCUUUUCCAGGUGCUGAGGGAGUGCUGGGUCUGCACUGUUGGACAGACUGACAUUAGGUGGGUGGCUGCCCUGCCACUGGAGAUCUGCAGCGAAGAUGUUGGUGGGAGCUUUCUCCAUCACCUAAGGUGAAACUGCCUCUUGUAAAGGUGCUGCUGUACAAAGGUGCAUGGAGGUACAGAUCCAUUGCUGUCGAGCAACUCUGACUGUGAAUACAUUUUAUAUGACUGUAUCUGAAGAAAUCAAGAAUGG